AUUGAACGCUGGCGGCAGGCCUAACACAUGCAAGUCGAGCGGAUGAAGGGAGCUUGCUCCUGGAUUCAGCGGCGGACGGGUGAGUAAUGCCUAGGAAUCUGCCUGGUAGUGGGGGAUAACGUCCGGAAACGGGCGCUAAUACCGCAUACGUCCUGAGGGAGAAAGUGGGGGAUCUUCGGACCUCACGCUAUCAGAUGAGCCUAGGUCGGAUUAGCUAGUUGGUGGGGUAAAGGCCUACCAAGGCGACGAUCCGUAACUGGUCUGAGAGGAUGAUCCGUCACACUGGAACUGAGACACGGUCCAGACUACUACGGGAGGCAGCAGUGGGGAAUGUUGGACAAUGGGCGAAAGCCUGAUCCAGCGAUGCCGCGUGUGUGAAGAAGGUCUUCGGGUUGUAAAGCACUUUAAGUUGGGAGGAAGGGCAGUAAGUUAAUACCUUGCUGUUUUGACGUUACCAACAGAAUAAGCACCGGCUAACUUCGUG
This 484-nucleotide ribosomal RNA is filed under the name uncultured bacterium. Its description in RNAcentral is "partial 16S ribosomal RNA". It matches the Rfam family "Bacterial small subunit ribosomal RNA", at positions 30 to 507 of the family's 1533-position model. The record is from RNAcentral.